This 388-nucleotide ribosomal RNA is filed under the name uncultured bacterium. RNAcentral describes it as "bacterial SSU rRNA". It matches the Rfam family "Bacterial small subunit ribosomal RNA", at positions 30 to 416 of the family's 1533-position model. The record is from RNAcentral.
AUUGAACGCUGGCGGCAUGCUUUACACAUGCAAGUCGAACGGCAGCACGGGAGCUUGCUCCUGGUGGCGAGUGGCGAACGGGUGAGUAAUACAUCGGAACGUACCCUGAAGUGGGGGAUAACGUAGCGAAAGUUACGCUAAUACCGCAUAUUCUGUGAGCAGGAAAGAGGGGGAUCGCAAGACCUCUUGCUUUAGGAGCGGCCGAUGUCGGAUUAGCUAGUUGGUGAGGUAAAGGCUCACCAAGGCGACGAUCCGUAGCGGGUCUGAGAGGAUGAUCCGCCACACUGGGACUGAGACACGGCCCAGACUCCUACGGGAGGCAGCAGUGGGGAAUUUUGGACAAUGGGCGCAAGCCUGAUCCAGCCAUGCCGCGUGAGUGAAGAAGGCC